UGGUAUUGAAAGCGAAACAGACCUUAUUCUAGCUCGUGUUGGUAUUUUUUUCCGUGACGUCAAGGGAUCUAAGUUCCUUUAAUACAUGCCCUUUCCAUCGUUCUGAGCUCGGUAUUGGAUGGCGACGGAACAGUUAUUCCAAUUCGUGCCAAGUUCCAAAGGAAAUCGCUAAUCACAUUGAAAGAAGAGGGAAACCUGUUAAAGCCGACAGGGGAGUUGGCAAGAACAUUUCAGCAUAUAUCCAUCAGCAAACCGGUACCCUCAUUCCUGUAGGUUCAGGUAUUUGCAGAGAAUGCAGAUCAUUUUUCAAGACGGCAGAUAAAGACAAAGUCUCAAAGCCUCCAAUAGAUUCUCUUUCCUCUGGUGUUCAGAGAAUUUUGUUGGAACCCAACAGCGACCCGUUAUUAAUAUGCACUCCUGCAAAACAAGAGGUUUCUUACGCACUUGAAACUCCCGGGAGCUUAUACCAGCCGUCGGAGAGUAGCUCAGAUUCUGAGGAGACAGUUCGAGGAACCAGAUCAAGUAGAGAUAAACUGAACAAGUUUCUUGCUUCAAGGGAUAUACGU
Molecule: long non-coding RNA, 566 nt
Organism: Pocillopora damicornis (cauliflower coral)
Lineage: Eukaryota; Metazoa; Cnidaria; Anthozoa; Scleractinia; Pocilloporidae
Source: RefSeq, a predicted model, not a curated record